GCCUCAGUAACGGCGAGUGAAGCGGCAACAGCUCAAAUUUGAAAUCUGGCUCCCUUCGGGGGCCCGAGUUGUAAUUUGGAGAGGAUGCUUUGGGCGCGGCGCCUUCCGAGUUCCUUGGAACAGGACGCCAGAGAGGGUGAGAGCCCCGUACGGUUGGACGCCUAGCCCGUGUAAAGCUCCUUCGACGAGUCGAGUAGUUUGGGAAUGCUGCUCAAAAUGGGAGGUAAAUUUCUUCUAAAGCUAAAUACUGGCCAGAGACCGAUAGCGCACAAGUAGAGUGAUCGAAAGAUGAAAAGCACUUUGAAAAGAGGGUUAAACAGCACGUGAAAUUGUUGAAAGGGAAGCGCCUGUGGCCAGACUUGCUGCCCGCGGUUCACCUGGCGCCUCCGCGCCAGGGCACGCCGCGGGUGCGCAGGCCAGCAUCGGCUUUCCCAGGGGGACAAAGGCCGCGGGAACGUAGCUCCUCCGGGAGUGUUAUAGCCCGCGGUGCCAUGCCUCUGGGGGGGCCGAGGAACGCGCCCUUCGGGGCAAGGAUGCUGGCGUAAUGGCCACCAG
Molecule: ribosomal RNA, 555 nt
Filed under: Raffaelea sp.
Lineage: Eukaryota; Fungi; Ascomycota; Sordariomycetes; Ophiostomatales; Ophiostomataceae
Description: LSU rRNA
Rfam family: Eukaryotic large subunit ribosomal RNA
Source: RNAcentral